Long non-coding RNA from Toxorhynchites rutilus septentrionalis, 1794 nucleotides. RefSeq lists it as uncharacterized. The transcript has 4 exons. The record is from RefSeq and is a predicted model, not a curated record. NCBI's taxonomy places the organism in Eukaryota, Metazoa, Arthropoda, Insecta, Diptera, Culicidae.
GACCAGUGGAGUUACGGAAUCGCCGAAGCCUAAUUGGCUGCAAAUCGCCCUGAAGUACGCGCCCAAAUCUUCACCAUUCAUAAACGGAAUUCCGCUGAUUAUCAACUCAUUACGGUUCUCAAGAUUGUCGACAGCCGAAGAGAUCCUGUCAACCCGCUCAUUCAGCACGUUCAGAGCCACAUCGUUGUCAUUGAAUUUCGAAGCAUGCUCCGUCCUGAGCGUAUGAAUUUCCUGUGAUACAGCAUCCAGCCUACCGUUCAUCUCGCACUUCAUGGAAUCAAUUUUGUUAUGCAAGUCAUUACGCAGCACAUCAAACAUGCCUUUGAUUUCGGUGAACUGAUUCAUAAGAAGUUGUACAGCAGAAUCCAACGACAGAGCACUUCCACUCACUUCAUCAUCCACUCGUGAUCGUUUGGAUACGGUUGUUUGGGUUGUUUUGAUAAGCCCAGACCUAGGGGGGGUUCUCGCUAAACUUGACAUUACGAUAAGAAACGACAGAGUGCAAGUUAUCCGUGUAUAGGUGUUGAGAGCGAAAACAAUCGUUUUAUAGCGUUGAGACGUGUUACAAUAAACCGACGAUAUAAUGGAUGGUCCAGACUAAAACUUUCGAUCUCAAAAUCUACCGAUCAACGACAAGAUCACUUCGGAUAACACGUACAGCGUAGCGGUGGAUGGUCAAAUUCACGAUAUCGAUAGUUCCAUCGAUGAAGAUGAGGGAUAAACUCCAAUUACGAAGCUUGUUUUUACGCUCCACAAACGACGCACUCCAGUCUCAUCAUCACUUUAUAGCACGAACUUAUUUACAUAGAUGGUAUCCGAACAACACUAAACACCCAGAUUCCUAUAUUUUCGAGCGGUUAUAAGCACAGUGUCGACCGAGUGACGAAAAGUGCUACAAAAGUGCCGGAAUUUUACCCCGCUUUGCCACCCGCAGGCAGCACUGCCCUAAGCUUCUGCUAUAAUCACAAUAAAACUACACGAAUUGAGCGAUUCGCCAUCACAGCAGCCUAUUUUCUCACACUGGACUGUCACUCAUAUAAAUAAAAGCGAGAGAAGUGAACGGAGUAAACAAUUUUCUUGAGCAAUUGACACUGAUGUGAGGGAUGCGAAACAAUGGACAGACUUUAAGGAUAACAGUACCAACGACUGCUGCAAUGUACUAUCCACGCACUAGGAGGGAAGUUCCAGUUAUGUGUGUUGAAAACCGGCGAUUAAACAGUAUGUCGCAGUUGUGGAAGAACGUCUGAUACCAUGCAUUCAAGGGUCCAUCGCAACAGUUACCGAUCCUCAAAUUGGCACCUCCUUCAUCGGCAGCUGGUAUUGGACCCGUAUUUACAUUUAACGAUUGCAUCGAACACAUCAAUCGGUGAUGCUAUCAACAUCCCAGAAUUUAGCUGGAUAGGGUUGUUCAGUUAAAAUGUUAUUCGUCCACAUCAGCGAAAUGCUGCAUAACAUUGCGUCAUCUGAAAUGAAGCUGUACUCUAGCCGUACCUGAUAGUUCUACAGCAUAUACGCCAUUUUGUCAGUGUUAGUAAUCUGCAUUGUAAAUAAAUGAAAUAAUUUCUAGCGACGGUGUUUUUUAAUGUUUAUUUCAACUUUUAUGAGAACAAAUGAUGCUAUAAACAGAGCCGAGCAGUUUUUCAAUCGGUCGACGCGGUGCCAGAUUGGCACAGUGUUGGCUCGUAAAUGGUAAUCGAAUACGAACUGUAGGUCGACAUAAUCAUUGCAAAAUGGCACGACAUCGGCACCGUUGUCGACACCAUUUUUUGGAACCGAUUUGACACAACAAAGUAG